Zingiber officinale is the source of this 757-nucleotide long non-coding RNA. RefSeq lists it as uncharacterized. The transcript has 4 exons. NCBI's taxonomy places the organism in Eukaryota, Viridiplantae, Streptophyta, Magnoliopsida, Zingiberales, Zingiberaceae. The record is from RefSeq and is a predicted model, not a curated record.
CUCACAGCGGAAACUUUUUUUUUUUCGCGAAAACCCUCUUCUCCGUGCCCUCACCGCAACUGUUUUUUCUCUGCACCCUCUUCUCUGCAAAAAAACCAAAUCUAUGAAAACCCUUUUCUCCACGAAAACCCUCCUCCGCAAAACCCUCCUCAUCCGUCCUCCGCCCUCCUCCACUAAACCCUCCUCCUCCCUCCUCCAAAAUCUUUUUGUAGCAGAACUCUAAACCCUAAAUUCUCUCUCCGCCGUUGUCGAUCCAUUGUGUCCACUGCAGUAGCACCAUUGGUAGUCACUCCAAUACACUCACUGGCAGCCACCCAAGCCCUCUCCACAGAAAUGAACAUCACCCGUUGUCUUCUGGCUUUUUUAGGGACUGUGCACUAAUGCUGUAAUUCAUCUCUUGAUGCAAGGGAAGAACUCACAUAUUAUGGUCUUCAGUGAAGGUCUCUUCUUUAUCUAUGUGCUUCCACCAAUAAUCUUCAAUGCAGGGUUGCUACUGACGGUAUUGGUAGCGGUAUUGAGAAUGAUGUUAACGGCGAUAGUCAUGGGAAAAAAAGUGGUGAGGGAGAUGUUUAGACGAGGAGACGAGAUGGAUGCACGACACACUGUCCAGACGUCUUAGGAGUGCAACAAAGACUUGUUUUUCUUAUGUCUUUUUCACUGUAUAAGGAGUUGUAUUGGUACUUUCCGGUUCCUUUUGAUACUCUCUUGUUGGGAUGCUACUAUUAUAUUGGGUAUAGUGGUUCAUUAUGUUGGAUUA